RNAcentral lists this ribosomal RNA (559 nucleotides) under Pteridomonas danica. RNAcentral describes it as "partial Bacterial large subunit ribosomal RNA". It matches the Rfam family "Bacterial large subunit ribosomal RNA", at positions 250 to 864 of the family's 2925-position model. Lineage: Eukaryota; Dictyochophyceae; Pedinellales. The record is from RNAcentral.
CGAGCGAACGCGGACCAGGCCAGUGGCUUGAUAGAAGAUAACCAGAAGCGUCUGGAAAGGCGCGCCAUAGUGGGUGAUAGCCCCGUACACGAAAAGCCAUUUGAGAUGAAAUCGAGUAGGUCGGGACACGAGAAAUCUUGACUGAAUAUGGGGGGACCAUCCUCCAAGGCUAAAUACUCCUGAUUGACCGAUAGUGAACCAGUACCGUGAGGGAAAGGCGAAAAGAACCCCGGAGAGGGGAGUGAAAUAGAACCUGAAAUCGUAUGCGUACAAGCAGUCGGAGCCCUACGGGGUGACGGCGUACCUUUUGUAUAAUGGGUCAGCGACUUAAUGUAUGUAGCAAGGUUAACCAGAUAGGGGAGCCGUAGGGAAACCGAGUUUUAACCGGCGUUAGUUGCAUGCAUUAGACCCGAAACCGGGCGAUCUAUCCAUGAGCAGGUUGAAGGUUGAGUAACAUCAACUGGAGGACCGAACCCACUGUCGUUGAAAAGCCAGGGGAUGACUUGUGGAUCGGAGUGAAAGGCUAAUCAAGCUCGGAGAUAGCUGGUUCUCCUCGAAA